Molecule: ribosomal RNA, 301 nt
Filed under: uncultured bacterium
Lineage: Bacteria
Description: partial 16S ribosomal RNA
Rfam family: Bacterial small subunit ribosomal RNA
Source: RNAcentral
CAGUAGCCGCGGUAAUACGAAGGGUGCAAGCGUUAAUCGGAAUUACUGGGCGUAAAGCGUGCGUAGGCGGUUUGUUAAGUCUGUUGUGAAAUCCCCGGGCUCAACCUGGGAAUGGCAAUGGAUACUGGCAAGCUAGGGUGUGUCAGAGGAUGGUGGAAUUCCCGGUGUAGCGGUGAAAUGCGUAGAGAUCGGGAGGAACAUCAGUGGCGAAGGCGGCCAUCUGGGACAACACUGACGCUGAGGCACGAAAGCGAGGGGAGCAAACAGGAUUAGAUACCCGCGUAGUCCCUGUCUCUUAUAC